ACUCGUUCUGCAGCCGGGCGUCCACAGGGCGGAUCGGGAGGCCAGUGUUCGGGCCGAGGAAGAAGAAGGCCAUCUCUUAGACUGAUCAUAAGCUUGCUGCCAUGCUGGAAAUGGAGGCUGGAUAGGCUUCUCCGGGCUACGCUUCUGGUCCGAAGAGGAGGUGUGCGUGGGUGACAGCAAAUGCAGGUUCUUCACGACUUCCAUUGGAGACGUUAGUUACUGGUAUCAGCAUACAUCUAAAGGUGCAUAUGGACCUUCUCCGUUGCAGAUUAUUGUUAUCCUGUACCAGACUGCGCCACAGUUGGAUUAAACGUAUCGCUGCCAUUACGAAAUAUUAGGAUGACACUGGCAGUUAGUGGUCCAUUUUCUAUAGAGGGUUUUCUCUACAGAACAAUGUUUGUUCACAUUCCAAGGGAAUUUCGUGGAUCGGCUCCGUUAUGCUCAGUUUCUAGGAGAGCACUGUGAGCUAGCAGUGUAUAUGGAACAUCGUUGGCAGGUCAGUUGAUAUUGACCAUUCUAAUGGUGGUGACCUGUGUACCUGUAUACUAAUUCAUUUCAGAUAUUCAGCAAACAUCCUCCGUCCAAUGCUCCCUUUGAGGGUUGGUUCAAGAAGUGGCUCUUAAUUUUUGGUGUUGGUGUCUUGCGAGAUUCAUUUAAUGUUCAGGAACAAAAUUUAUUUUGGCACUUGGUACACAUGGUUUUUUGCUCAU
This is a long non-coding RNA of Lolium rigidum, 710 nucleotides long. RefSeq lists it as uncharacterized. Lineage: Eukaryota; Viridiplantae; Streptophyta; Magnoliopsida; Poales; Poaceae. The record is from RefSeq and is a predicted model, not a curated record. The transcript has 3 exons.